Molecule: ribosomal RNA, 293 nt
Filed under: uncultured bacterium
Lineage: Bacteria
Description: partial 16S ribosomal RNA
Rfam family: Bacterial small subunit ribosomal RNA
Source: RNAcentral
GGAUUAGAUACCCUGGUAGUCCACGCCGUAAACGAUGUCUACUAGCCGUUGGAUCCCUUGAGGAUUUAGUGGCGCAGCUAACGCACUAAGUAGACCGCCUGGGGAGUACGGUCGCAAGAUUAAAACUCAAAUGAAUUGACGGGGGCCCGCACAAGCGGUGGAGCAUGUGGUUUAAUUCGAAGCAACGCGAAGAACCUUACCAAGACUUGACAUCCUGCGAACUUUCUAGAGAUAGAUUGGUGCCUUCGGGAACGCAGUGACAGGUGCUGCAUGGCUGUCGUCAGCUCGUGUUG